RNAcentral lists this ribosomal RNA (302 nucleotides) under uncultured Candidatus Saccharibacteria bacterium. RNAcentral's name for it is "bacterial SSU rRNA". It matches the Rfam family "Bacterial small subunit ribosomal RNA", at positions 28 to 351 of the family's 1533-position model. The record is from RNAcentral. Lineage: Bacteria; Candidatus Saccharimonadota.
GAUGAACGCUGGCGGCGUGCCUAAUACAUGCAAGUCGAGCGGUAAGGCCCUUCGGGGUACACGAGCGGCGGACGGCUGAGUAACACGUAGGAACGUACCCCAAACUGAGGGAUAAGCACCAGAAAUGGUGUCUAAUACCGCAUGUGCUCCACGGAGUAAAGCUUCGGCGGUUUGGGAACGGCCUGCGCACGAUUAGAUUGUUGGUGAGGUAAUGGCUCACCAAGUCGACGAUCGUUAGCUGGUCUGAGAGGAUGAUCAGCCAGACUGGGACUGAGAACGGCCCAGACUCCUACGGGUGGCUG